UGAGGGAAAGAAAGCUAGACCAGGGUUAUCGGUGUGGAUCGCACACAAGAAAGAGACUGCUAACGGAUGAGACACGUUUUAAGCGAUUCCGUAAAAUGGAUUUCUGCAUAAACUGAAUUUUUAAAUUAGGACUUACAACCAGGUUCUUCUGUGUGACACACUGCGGGAGGUAAAGAUGGACGCUGAAAUUACAACAUUGUUUUGAGCACCACAGAAAUUGCCUUUUUUCUUCUUGUUUCAUGUUUUUAUGGAGUAUUUGCCAGUCCAAAUACAGAUGGUUAAAGAGUUUUGGUCCUGUUAGCGGUCCGUGACUCCAUUUUGUCUCCAUGACACCUGCAGCAGCAUCGGGCUCACCAGACAAAGCCUUCGUCCAACUGAACCUGGAGCUUGCACCCUGCCUCCUUUGUGGUUCCACAUUUGGACAUCCUGGAGUAAAUAUCUCUCAGUUGCUGCCUGACCAGCUGGAAAAGUGGAUGGAACUUUAAAGGACCAGCUGUAUGCCAGAACACCUGAAACAGGUUAAGAGCUCAACUAGGCCCAGGAGCUCCAGUGUCAGACCAAAGUGAAGACCCUCCCACUGUAUGACAAAAUACCCAACAUGGCUUCCCUCAGCAGAGGAUAGCAGUGCAGACAGGACUGGAGUCUGACUUAGCGCUAGAGGCGAGAAAACAACAAAAUGAUCAGAAACUGACCUGAGAGAAACAUCUGCAGUAAAGGCUUGCAGCUCAGCAGGAAUGAAGAGAGUAGAUGAAUCACUGAAUUGUUUCAUGGGCAUGCGGGUGUUUUUGGUGCCAUUUUUUUCUUAACCGUGUUGCGAGCCAGCGUGAUUUAUUAUUUUUACCCUAAGAGACAUCUGUUACACCAUUCCCUGUUUUUGUAAUGCAUCAUCAGCCAGAGGAAAAGUAAUAUUAUCCAGCCUGGGAUAUUGCACUCUGGAGUCUAAUAAUCUAAUGUAUACUAGGGCUGUUGUCAUUAAAUUGCCAGUGGAGCUGUUGGAAGAUGCUGGUGAUUCAGGUAGAAAAGCUGUGUGGAGGCUGGUAGGAGACAGACAGGAGACAUUGAUGCUAAUCAACAAUCUCUCCAUGGACAUGAAGUGGCGGCCCUGCCUGACUACGAGCAUGCUUUAGUUCUUAUUAAGGAGAAAGGAGCCAGUGAUCCACCUGAAUAUUCAAGCGAGGUCUGCAAGCAGAGCAAGAUACAGUGUGCACAGCUCUGGACUGAUCGGCUCCUGUUCCUCUCAGCCAUAUUCAAGCCUUUUGGAGUGCAGCUGACUAAGUCAGUGUUUCCUCCCUGAAGUGUCUGAAUAUCGACCAGGCCUCAGUGACACGACACCUGCUGGAAAUUUCAGGUAUUUGACUACAAGAGGAAUGCUGAUUACAAGAGGAGAGAGGCAGCAGAUGAAUCAAAAUCUCAUAGCCUUUGUUUUUCAUCUGCUAUUAUGGUUGCAGAGUUGGAAGACUUUCUUCUGAAGAUCUUAUCCCUGAGGGGAGCCUGCCCUUUACAGACAUUUCUAACAUUUUGGAAAUUACUCCGAUUGAGAAGAUUCUACUUUUAGUAUUAUAACAACCUUCAGUCAUCAGUGAAGAGAACUAAAACAUGUUCAAGCGGUGUGAUAUAAAAAAUACAUACAAUGAACAGUGCAUAAAGGCUGUAAAAUCACAGUCAUUGCUAAUUGUUCUGUGUAGGCUUUUAGUUUUUUCUAAUUGCUGUCGGAGUACUUUAAAGCACUUUGUUGUACUUUUAUCUUUUAUAUAUUGAUCUUUAUUGUGAUUAUUGCAUUUCUGUAUGUUGACAUCUACAAAAGAAGAUAUGCUUAAGCAGCACCCAGCAACUACUCCUAAAGUAAAAUGCCCACAAGUCAAAACAGCCAAAAUCUUAAUGAGUCUGGCCAGAUAGAAAGGGAAUUUCUGCAAAAUAAAAGAAUA
Molecule: long non-coding RNA, 1925 nt
Organism: Gambusia affinis (western mosquitofish)
Lineage: Eukaryota; Metazoa; Chordata; Actinopteri; Cyprinodontiformes; Poeciliidae
Exons: 9
Source: RefSeq, a predicted model, not a curated record